CUUUCUAUCACACUAUUUAAUAUCUCUUCUCAAUAUUUCUUCUCGUCUUCUCCGUCAUCUCCAUGAAAACCAGAUCCAAAAAAGCUACUACCAACUUUCUCGUUCUCCACCACCACCAGCGUCCCCACCUUCAUCUUGUCCAUUAUCAAACAGUAAGUACCAUCGUCAUUUUUUUACACUGUUUCCAUUAUCAAAUCAGUAACAUCAUAUUCCUCUACCAUCACUAUCUCCUCCACAAAUCACAAACACCACCAUCGCCAUCAUCAUUUUUAUCCAACAACACCAUCAUAGAAGAUACGAAACGAAGACUACGUUCAAAUUGGUAAAUUUCUUAACCUUAAGUAUGCUUUUUAUUACAAUUGAUUUCAAAUUUGUUCAUCUUAAUUAAAAAAUUUAUGCACCUAUACAUAUGUUAAUUUUUAUAUGUUUAGUUUGAUCAAAAUGAACAUGGGUUCGUCCUGUCAUGAUUUCGUCCCGUUUCAAACUUAGAUGAACUUUGAUUCAUCAUGUGUUUAAAUGUGCAUAUUGAUUUAUUUUAUUUUGAAAAUGUAGAGAUAGCAUAUUUUUUCCUUGCAUAAAAAGUUCUUGUUUAAUCUAGACACGAUGAAACUAGUUUUAUCCUGUGUUAGAUUGGGUUGGAUAGACAUGACGAAACUGGUUUCAUCCUAUAUUAGAUUGGGUUGAAUUUGGUUUCACCCAUGUUAAACUAAGAUGAAACCGGUUUCAUCUAUGUUUAGGAUGAAUCUUAGAUUGUUAAAUUUGGUAUCACUCAUUUUAAACAAAGAUGAAAUUGAUUUUAUUCUGUUUGGAAUGGAUUAAUUUCAGAUUCACUCAUUUUAAAUUAGAUGAAACUGGUUUCUUCAUGUUUAGAUUAGGUUGAAUUUGAAUUUUUAGUCAUUUUAAAUGAGGAUGAAACUGAUUCCAUCCUGUUUUAGAUUGGGUGUAUUUGGUUUCAUCCAUUAUAAAUUAGGAUGAAGCUCGUAUCAUCCUGUUUAAACUAGUUUAUGUUUCAUAUUUAUGUUUCAAUGGGUACUCGGAUUUAGUAUUUCUUUUUAUAUGUCUAAAAUGAAAGGUAUGCACAACUUACUGUUUUUUUCAUCCUCUUAAUUAAUAUAGUCCAGGGCUUACUAUGUUCUUAAUGUUUGGAUUGUGAUCAAGGAUGAACAUCCUUAACCCCAAAGUCAGAUUGGGUGUGUAGAUUUGGGUUUAUCAUGUCAUUUAAUUUGUCCAUUGCAUCCCUAUGUUGAUUGGGUAUAUUUUUCCCUUGUCCUUCUUGUGCUUUUGAUAUUCAACCUUAGUUUCUUCAUUCCCUUAUUUUUUUAGAUUAGAUGGUUUCCUUGUUCCUGUUUUUUUUUUUUUUUUAACUAUUGGUUUCCUUGUUCAAGUGUAUAUAAAUGUGCAUCAUGUUGACAGCAUUCCACACCGAAUGGACUUAAGCUAAGCAUAGCACUUGUACUUGUCAUCAGCUUGUCGCUGGUUGAUUGGUUUUGGACCCCCCCCCCCCCCAAUUUUUCAUAAUUCAGAGUAUUUUUUCAUUACAGAUUGAAAGCCGUCAUUUUUUUCAUCAAUGAAACAUGUUGUAGUCUGCGACAUACUUCCAAGCAUUGCUAGACAUUUCUAUUGAUUUAUUGCGUAUGUGUGAUUGUCUUUGAAUCUCUCAGAUAUAAAUGCGACUUGCCAAUUUCUACUCCUAAGAAUAGUAAUUAUACUUUACUUUUGUUGUCAUAACUUUAAAAAAAAAAAAAAAAAGUGAUUGGUUAAUGAUAGUUGGUGACUUCGUCGAAUGCUAUGGAAGUAUUUUUCAGUUAAAGAUACUGAAUCCUUUAGUUUUUCAGUUCACCUGCUUGAGAAAUCAGUAUGAAGUCCCGUCAUUUUUUGAUGGUUUUACAGCAACGAAAAGAAAUUUUCAGAAAUUGGAUAUCUGGGCCUAACAAUUCUUCACGUCAUUUUUAGAAGUUGGGUAUCUGGGCCUGGCAAUUCUACGAGGUCUUAAUUGGAUGUGAAAACUACGGUGAGACCCAUUCUCCCAGAUUUUUCCACUGAGAAACCCACGGACAGAAAACUUCAGACGCGCACCCAUUUUUGGGGGAAAACUUACUCCCAAACCCAUAUUUUCUAAAAUUAGGUUUCGGUCUUUUUUUUUUUUUUUGUUCAUUUUCGAUUCAUUUUCUUCUUCUCUCCACUCUACUGUUUGAUUCGACUUUCAUUAGAUCUGUUCAAACCCAUACUUUCGUUAGACAGUUUAGUGGAGAUUCAAGACUGAAUCAGUUGAUCCAUACCAGUUCCUGAUGGGUUUUGUGACAGCGUUGGAUUCAAUCUGCUGGUGUUGGUGAUUUGAAUUCGCGACAUAGAGAGCUGGCAGUCGGUGGUGAUGAAUCUUGUCAGCCGUGGUCUAGAAAUGGGUUCUGCUGGUGUUAAUUUCGUGAUUUUUUACGAGAGAAAUUGUGGCAGGAAUUCGAGCCAGAAGAAGAUAAGGCUGGCUACUGUGAUGGCUGAGAUAAAGAGUUGAUAUGUUGCCGCCUUGAUCAUGGGGGUAGACUGAGGAAGUUAAUUAAAGAGAAACUUCGAAGGCUUGGGUUCCAUCUAUCGUUGACAGCAAGUGGUUAAUCUAUAUAGGCGUAUCUCGGUACUCGAUUAAGAGCAGAUUGGCAACAAGAUUUCAGACAGGAGUGAGGAUGGAAUCAAGCUUCUACUCGAACUGAAGCAGCAACGUCGCUGGAUUCAUGGGGUUCGUUUGCGAGCUGUUGCAGUCGUCUGUACUCGAAGGAUGCUUAUGAUAUCAAGGGUUUUUGAAGGCUAAGAUAAUUGCAGUUAGCAAUGACGAUGUUCAGGGUGCAAUCGAUGGAGUGAAGCCUGGAAUCUGCUAGCUAGGAUGGCUGAAGUGCAUGAUGGAAGUGGUGAUUCUUAUUCUGACUGAAAUUGGAUUUGUUUAGUUGGCCGGAGUUGGGAGAUACGAAAUUGGUGUGUAGCUGUUGAUUUGACUUGAAGAAGAUACGAGCAGUUAAGCUGGAGAUGAAAGUGGCUAGUCAGGGACCCUUUGAGGUUUGCUCGUCAGCUGGAGGAAGAACAGAGAACGUUUUUGGUGCGGUGGGUAUUGGAAAGUCGAGCUUUAGCACUGGGCGUAGUGUUGAAAGUGGUAAUGUGAUUAGGAAUAUUGGAGAAGUCGAACUUUUCAAGUGUAGCUUCUGUCUUUUGGAUUGCGCUUAAUGUGAUUGUUGUCUGAAACUUUCCCCUCUUCGUAAUUAGUGUAUCCAAGUUCUUUGA
Molecule: long non-coding RNA, 3264 nt
Organism: Papaver somniferum (opium poppy)
Lineage: Eukaryota; Viridiplantae; Streptophyta; Magnoliopsida; Ranunculales; Papaveraceae
Exons: 2
Source: RefSeq, a predicted model, not a curated record